GAUGAACGCUAGCGAUAGGCUUAACACAUGCAAGUCGAGGGGCAGCAUGGUCUUAGCUUGCUAAGACUGAUGGCGACCGGCGCACGGGUGCGUAACGCGUAUGCAACUUGCCUCACAGAGGGGGAUAACCCGUCGAAAGACGGACUAAUACCGCGUACACUCCAUCUUGGGCAUCCAAGGCGGAGGAAAUGAAAUUCGCUGUGAGAUAGGCAUGCGUCCCAUUAGCUAGUUGGUGAGGUAACGGCUCACCAAGGCGACGAUGGGUAGGGGAACUGAGAGGUUGAACCCCCACACUGGUACUGAGACACGGACCAGACUCCUACGGGAGGCAGCAGUGAGGAAUAUUGGUCAAUGGGCGAGAGCCUGAACCAGCCAAGUCGCGUGAAGGAUGACUGUCUUAUGGAUUGUAAACUUCUUUUAUACGGGAAUAACAAGAGUUCUCGUGUGACU
This 450-nucleotide ribosomal RNA is filed under the name Porphyromonas catoniae. RNAcentral describes it as "bacterial SSU rRNA". It matches the Rfam family "Bacterial small subunit ribosomal RNA", at positions 28 to 466 of the family's 1533-position model. The record is from RNAcentral. Lineage: Bacteria; Pseudomonadati; Bacteroidota; Bacteroidia; Bacteroidales; Porphyromonadaceae.